RNAcentral lists this ribosomal RNA (253 nucleotides) under uncultured bacterium. RNAcentral's name for it is "partial 16S ribosomal RNA". It matches the Rfam family "Bacterial small subunit ribosomal RNA", at positions 524 to 776 of the family's 1533-position model. The record is from RNAcentral.
UACGUAGGGUGCAAGCGUUACUCGGAAUUACUGGGCGUAAAGGGCGCGUAGGCGGCCAUGCGUGUCUUCCGUGAAAUCCCUCGGCUUAACUGAGGACGUGCGGAAGAAACUGCAAGGCUCGAGUCCGGGAGAGGGGGGUGGAAUUCCCAGUGUAGCGGUGAAAUGCGUAGAUAUUGGGAGGAACACCGGUGGCGAAGGCGGCCCCCUGGACCGGUACUGACGCUGAGGCGCGAAAGCGUGGGUAGCAAACGGG